AACGCACAUUGCGCCCAUUGGCAUUCCGAUGGGCAUGCCUGUUCGAGCGUCAUUAUCCUCCCUCAAACCCCUGGGUUUGGUGUUGGACUCUGUUGUGCGGUGUUGGCACAACUGGUCUCAAAGACAAUGACGGCGUCCGUGGGACCCUCGGUGCAACGAGCUUUUUCGAAAGCACGCGUCGAGUGUACAGUCUCUCCGGGCCGGUCUCCUUGGACAUUUUUUCUCAGGUUGACCUCGGAUCAGGUAGGAAUACCCGCUGAACUUAA
RNAcentral lists this unclassified non-coding RNA (266 nucleotides) under uncultured Chaetothyriales. RNAcentral's name for it is "sequence contains 5.8S rRNA gene, ITS2, 28S rRNA gene". The record is from RNAcentral. Lineage: Eukaryota; Fungi; Ascomycota; Eurotiomycetes; Chaetothyriales.